CAGGUUAGUUUUACCUGUUCUAGAAAUUCACCUUGAUGGCGCCACACAGGAUGCCCUCUUUUCAUCACUCGGCAUGAUGUUUUUGAGCCAAAUUUCUCCCAUUUGGGUUAAUCGCAGGAUCAGCACGUCCACAGUGCAAUGGAAAAGCAACGCCCUGGGAAAACAACCUUCAUAACGUCCUCUCCGAUGCCAGCUGGCCAGGACUUAGUCAGUAUCUACUGAAACCUUGAAUAUCUUGGCUGUGUUAACUGUUUUGACCCAACAUGGAGCGAAAAUGUUGGUUGUACCUUGAGAUUCUGACAUCUGGUUGAAGUCCAGGUUCACUGGCCCAGGACAGGUCAUUCAGCUGUUUGAAAAAAAACAGAAGAGAGACCAGGCCAUCCACUGAGGUAAUCUCCAUGCAGCAUGAACCACUGGUUCCAAUGAACCCACCAUCACCAUACUUCUCAGGAAUCGCUGGUCACUAGACUGAGAGUUCUGUGAAAGCUGAGAUCAUAUCUUACUAAUCUCUGUGUUCAUGGUUCCCAGCUCAGGGUCUAGCACUGAGGGAGUUCUCAGGAGAGUGUUCAUCAAUUAUUGAAUAAAAGCGAUUGCAAACC
Long non-coding RNA from Homo sapiens (human), 599 nucleotides. RefSeq lists it as uncharacterized. The transcript is spliced from 3 exons. NCBI's taxonomy places the organism in Eukaryota, Metazoa, Chordata, Mammalia, Primates, Hominidae. The record is from RefSeq and is a predicted model, not a curated record.